CACAAGCGGUGAGCAUGUGGUUAAUUCGAAGCAACGCGAAGAACCUUACAGGUCUUGACAUCCCGAUGCUAUUUCUAGAGAUAGAAAGUUACUUCGGUACAUCGGUGACAGGUGGUGCAUGGUUGUCGUCAGCUCGUGUCGUGAGAUGUUGGGUUAAGUCCCGCAACGAGCGCAACCCCUAUUGUUAGUUGCCAUCAUUCAGUUGGGCACUCUAGCGAGACUGCCGGUAAUAAACCGGAGGAAGUGGGGAUGACGUCAAAUCAUCAUGCCCCUUAUGACCUGGGCUACACACGUGCUACAAUGGUUGGUACAACGAGUUGCGAGUCGGUGACGGCGAGCUAAUCUCUUAAAGCCAAUCUCAGUUCGGAUUGUAGGCUGCAACUCGCCUACAUGAAGUCGGAAUCGCUAGUAAUCGCGGAUCAGCACGCCGCGGUGAAUACGUUCCCGGGCCUU
This 453-nucleotide ribosomal RNA is filed under the name uncultured Streptococcus sp. RNAcentral describes it as "bacterial SSU rRNA". It matches the Rfam family "Bacterial small subunit ribosomal RNA", at positions 924 to 1382 of the family's 1533-position model. Lineage: Bacteria; Bacillati; Bacillota; Bacilli; Lactobacillales; Streptococcaceae. The record is from RNAcentral.